RNAcentral lists this ribosomal RNA (690 nucleotides) under Triticum aestivum (bread wheat). Its description in RNAcentral is "partial small subunit ribosomal RNA". Lineage: Eukaryota; Viridiplantae; Streptophyta; Magnoliopsida; Poales; Poaceae. The record is from RNAcentral.
AUGUACACAUCCUGCAGGCCGCACGCGCGCGCCUUCCACCACCACCACCCGGCCGACCUGGCCCAGCGGGGCGGCGGCCAGCCCGGCCUGCUCCCGGCCGCAGCGUGGAGGUGGGGCGGCGCGGCGCCGAGGGCGAGCCUGGUGGCGGCGCGGACGGCGACGGAAGAGGCGGUGUACGAGGUGGUGCUGCGGCAGGCCGCGCUGGUGGAGGACUUGCAGGGGCGGCGGGCGGCGCGGGAGGCCGACACCGGCCAGCGCCGCCGGUGGCGGGACGAGCAGCUGGAGCAGGAGGGCGACGCCGAGCUCGGCUGGGGCCUCCUCGGCGAUGCCUACGACCGCUGCGGCGAGGUCUGCGCCGAGUACGCCAAGACCUUCUACCUCGAUAAUUUAUUCAGUCUGAAGCCAAAUACUCAUGCAUAUACCAGUGACCCCCUACAGUUUGGAAAUUAUGGGAAGGCAUCCAUGGACGCCGCCGCCACUGCUCCGACCCCGCUGCCAACGCCCCAUGGAGACUCUGUUCUCUCUCGUGUCCUGCGUGUCCCGGCCAACAAACCAAUUACCCUAAGGUUCAUUGAUGACAGCCAAGGGUUCAUGCUCGGAAACGACUACAUCUUGCUCCAUGUUGUCGGCUCAGCUAGAGUCCUUAAUCAUGAGGAGAUGGGACACGUCGAUUGUUACAAUACACUUUGA